This 248-nucleotide ribosomal RNA is filed under the name uncultured bacterium. Its description in RNAcentral is "partial 16S ribosomal RNA". It matches the Rfam family "Bacterial small subunit ribosomal RNA", at positions 8 to 244 of the family's 1533-position model. The record is from RNAcentral.
AGAGUUUGAUCAUGGCUCAGGAUGAACGCUAGCGACAGGCCUAACACAUGCAAGUCGAGGGGCAGCGGGGAGGUAGCAAUACCUUUGCCGGCGACCGGCGCACGGGUGAGUAACACGUAUGCAAUCCACCUGUAACAGGGGGAUAACCCGGAGAAAUCCGGACUAAUACCCCAUAAUAUGGGCGCUCCGCAUGGAGAGUUCAUUAAAGAGAAGCAAUUUUGGUUACAGACGAGCAUGCGCUCCAUUAG